GACCAGGAGGGGUUUUGGGGUGACCAGGAGAGGUUUUGGGGGUCCCCUCUGCAUUUUCUCCAUACCCAGCUCAGUUUUGGGGUGGCCAGGAGGAGUUUUGGGGUGGCCAGGAGGGGUUUUGGGGUGACCAGGAGAGGUUUUGGGGGUCCCUUGUGCAUUUUCCCCAUCCCCAGCUCAGUUUUGGGGUGGCCAGGAGAGGUUUUGGGGGUCCCCUCUGCGUUUUCCCCAUCCUCAGCUCAGUUUUGGGGGUCCCCUCUGCAUUUUCUCCAUCCCCAGCUCAGUUUUGGGGGUCCCCUCUGGGUUUUAUCCAUCCUCAGCUCAGUUUUGGGGGGACCAGUUUGGGUUUUCCCCUGACCAGGAGG
RNAcentral lists this long non-coding RNA (362 nucleotides) under Cyanistes caeruleus (blue tit). RNAcentral's name for it is "lncRNA (ENSCCEG00000005033.1)". The record is from RNAcentral. Lineage: Eukaryota; Metazoa; Chordata; Aves; Passeriformes; Paridae.